This 72-nucleotide transfer RNA is filed under the name Ictidomys tridecemlineatus (thirteen-lined ground squirrel). Its description in RNAcentral is "Spermophilus tridecemlineatus (thirteen-lined ground squirrel) tRNA". It matches the Rfam family "tRNA". From Rfam's summary of the family: Transfer RNA (tRNA) molecules are approximately 80 nucleotides in length. Their secondary structure includes four short double-helical elements and three loops (D, anti-codon, and T loops). The record is from Rfam by way of RNAcentral. Lineage: Eukaryota; Metazoa; Chordata; Mammalia; Rodentia; Sciuridae.
AGAGCUGUAGCUCAGUGGUAGAGCACUUGCCUGGCAUGCGUGAAGCCCUGGGUUCAAACCUCAGCACCACAU